CAAUAAUGCAGCAAUAACAAAUCCACCAGAGGAAAACAUAACAUUUCAGUUAUUUUCUAUACAUAUUGUGGUUCACAAGAUGUGUAGAAAAAACGUUUUAUUUUGCAUUAUGAUAGGCUUGGAAACAGUUUCUGUCCUUGUUCAGACAAAGAUGCACUCUGCAUUUCUCACAGAACACAUAGGAAAAGUGGCCCACACAGUGCUUGCAUCUCUGUCGGGUUUCCCAUGUUGGGAAAUGAUUGAGGCCGUCCUUUCUCACAUCAGGGGGCAACUCAGUGGUUUUCCUUCUCCUAGGAGGGGCUGGCGUUGCUUCCGGAGAGGACAAAGGUCUGCCACACUUUUUGACCUUUCGUGCACUUGUGUAGCGGAUCCAUGCAUUUAUUACUGCCACUGUGAUGGUGUGCCACCAAAUGUAGAUGUACCAUCUUCGGGAUCUGAAGCUGAACUUGUACAGAGCAGAAAGCAUAUCUAGAAGGUCAAUGCCUCCCAUGAACCUGUUGUAAGUGUCAACAAUGGCCGGUCUGGGAACCAUUAUGUGGGUUUUGGCUUUUCGAUCCCAACGCUUCACACUGCCCAGAGGUUCAACACCAACAAAGGAAGAGAGCAGGUUCACAGCUUUGUUGUCAGACCAUCUCACAAUGAUGUUGUUUUCCUGGAUUACUCUGAAAUCCAGUGACCCUCUUCCCUUUUUCUUCAGUUGUGUCCCAGUCCUUUGCCAUGGCAGUCUUGUAGUAUCAGUGGAAAGGCCUCUGGAGACCACACACACCUAGACACAUACCUGAAGCACUCACCAAAUACACCUUGAUGCCAAUUUCUGUUGUUGGACUAAGAUCUGUGACCCGACUUGGAAUACAGAAAGUAAAAGGUUUCCUGCCUCAUGUCUUCCUUCUUCCACCUGCUGCACCACAUCUGGUCCUGAACUGAAUCCAGUCUAAGUAGUGUUCUGACAGACACUCCAGGUUGAGAGCAGUGACAAACCUGAACAGUGCCUUUAAACCGUCCUACAAAUUAAGAGCAGCCUCAGCUACAGUGACAUAACAUAAAAAAUAGACUUUUUACAACCCUUUCAAAUUGAUUGUUUGUGGAAGGAGAGUAUUUAGAGCAAAGAUGAUCCCACGACAUUGCAUCAGGGUGACCAUCUCCUCUUUCAUAUCAAAAAGCAUAUCAUCGUCUUCCUGGUCACUAUCUCCAAUCAGCCUGACAGCUGUCCCUGCUGUCACAGAUUUCCCCUGGAGCUACGGAUGGAAUUAAGAUGAUUUCCAGCUGAUGGCCACUGGCUGUCAACUUCCCAGUGGGUCGUUCCAUCUGCUCACCAGGGGAAGGGAAAUUUGGUCUUUCAAUUUAGUUUAAUCAUUUCUUUAUUGUUUGUUUUUCUGAAAGUUAGUUCAGUUCUAAUAUUUACUUAAUUUAAAUAUUUAGUAAUGUUUGUCAGUAUUUGUCUGUUUUUUGUGUGUUUAAUUAUCUCUUUUGGGUUUAG
Poeciliopsis prolifica (blackstripe livebearer) is the source of this 1477-nucleotide long non-coding RNA. RefSeq lists it as uncharacterized. NCBI's taxonomy places the organism in Eukaryota, Metazoa, Chordata, Actinopteri, Cyprinodontiformes, Poeciliidae. The record is from RefSeq and is a predicted model, not a curated record. The transcript has 3 exons.